This 242-nucleotide long non-coding RNA is filed under the name Zonotrichia albicollis (white-throated sparrow). Its description in RNAcentral is "lncRNA (ENSZALG00000011400.1)". Lineage: Eukaryota; Metazoa; Chordata; Aves; Passeriformes; Passerellidae. The record is from RNAcentral.
GGGGGAGGGGGAAGCCUGCUCCCGCUCCCCGGCCGAGCCGCCUUGUCCUGUCGCUGAGCCGGGAAAACGAGGCUCAAAACAAUUCAUCUGGAGAAUUGGCUUGUGGGAAAACUGAGCAUCAAGAAACAGCUUCAAGGUCUCACACCUUCAAAAAUAAGUCUUUUAAGAAAUCCAGUAUCUGUGGAUUUUGCGAACAAGUCAUUGACAACCAAGGAAUUUCCUGCAGAGUAAAGCAUUCUCAG